This is a long non-coding RNA of Homo sapiens (human), 1195 nucleotides long. Ensembl annotates it as oligodendrocyte maturation-associated long intergenic non-coding RNA. Its record names the gene OLMALINC. The record is from Ensembl. NCBI's taxonomy places the organism in Eukaryota, Metazoa, Chordata, Mammalia, Primates, Hominidae.
GUGAAUCACAGGUCGGCGGGAGCCUUUUUUCCUUUUUUUUUUUUUCCCGGGGAGUCGGCCUCGGGGCUCUGCUCUCCUACCUCAGUCUGCCCUACCCUGGAAUGGGGAAAAUGCGGACAUGCCACUCAGUCCGGCCGCGAACAGUGCUCCAGAACUCAGAGAGUUUUCCAGACGGGUGGAGAUCGCGUUCCCUGCCCGCCGAGGUCCCAUCGCUUCCCUGCUGGGAAGACAAAUGAGGCGCUUUAGCCGUCUCCACGGCCAGCCCCUCCCUCAUAACCCGAGAUUCUUUGUGGGCUCUUAGUCCAUAGCUGCCUUUGAGGUGGUGUAGACCUUGCUAACCAGGACGGCCCAGUAGGCAGAGCUCAUUUUUAUUCCUGUCUGCAAUCGUGCAAAAACGCCUCUUAUGGAAAAGCCAGAGCGCCAGGAGUCAGCAAAACACACUAAAGAUUGGGCAGUCACUGGGGAGAACACUCAGCCCGCCUGCACCCAGGUGAAAUAUACAGCCUUGUUGCUCACACAAAGCCUGUUUGGUGGUUUCUUCACACGGAUGCAUGUGACAUUUGGUGCUGAAGACCCAGGACAGGAGGACUCCUUUGGGAGACCAGUGCCCUGUUGUCGCCCUCACUCCGUGAGGAGAUCCACCUAUGAUCUCAGGUCCUCAGACCAACCAGCCCAAGGAACAUCUUGCCAAUUUCAAAUCGGGUUGUCAGAAUCUGCAGAGAAGCUUCCUCCAAUCUCCAGCCUGAGAGUUCAGGCCUGGUUACCAGCAUUCUAGAAGCUGAAAGAGGAGAAGUUCUUGGAAGACUAAGAAGUCCAACAUUCGAAAGCGUCUUACUAUGUUGCCCAGGCUGUUUCAAACUCCUGGGCUUGCGUGGACACGGUGGCUCACGCCUGUAACUCCAACACUUCGGGAGAUUGAGGCAGGUGAAUCUGAGAUCAGGAGUUCGAGACCAACCUGGCCAACAAGGCCUCCCCUCAUGUAUCACUUCUUCAGAAAUGACUUCUGUGACCACAUCUGAGUAGAGACGGGGUUUCUCCAUGUUGGCCAGGCUGGCCUCGAACUCCCGAUCUCACGUGAUCCUCCCACCUCGGCCUCCCAAAGGGUUGAGAUUACAGGAGUGAGCCACCACUCCCGGCCAAGGUGUUGAAAAAGUUGCCUUUUAAAUACCCGAAGAAUAAAAAAAAGAAAGAAAAA